GGCUCUAUAGCUCAGUGGCAGAGCACUGGUCUUGUAAACCAGGGGUCAUGAGUUCAAUCCUCAUUGGAGCCU
Gasterosteus aculeatus (three-spined stickleback) is the source of this 72-nucleotide non-coding RNA. The record is from Rfam. Lineage: Eukaryota; Metazoa; Chordata; Actinopteri; Perciformes; Gasterosteidae.